GACAUAGGGUGCAAACGUUGUUCGGAAUUACUGGGCGUAAAGCGCGUGUAGGCGGUUCGGAAAGUCGGAUGUGAAAGCCCUGGGCUUAACCCAGGAAGUGCACUCGAAACUCCCGAACUAGAGUCCUGGAGAGGAAGGCGGAAUUCUCGGUGUAGAGGUGAAAUUCGUAGAUAUCGAGAGGAACAUCGGUGGCGAAGGCGGCCUUCUGGACAGCGACUGACGCUGAGACGCGAAAGCGUGGGGAGCAAACAGG
This 253-nucleotide ribosomal RNA is filed under the name uncultured bacterium. Its description in RNAcentral is "partial 16S ribosomal RNA". It matches the Rfam family "Bacterial small subunit ribosomal RNA", at positions 524 to 776 of the family's 1533-position model. The record is from RNAcentral.